UACAGAGGGUGCAAGCGUUAAUCGGAAUUACUGGGCGUAAAGCGUGCGUAGGUGGUUUGUUAAGUCAAGUGUGAAAUCCCCGGGCUCAACCUGGGAACUGCAUUUGAUACUGGCAAGCUAGAGUGUGGUAGAGGGUAGUGGAAUUCCCGGUGUAGCGGUGAAAUGCGUAGAUAUCGGGAGGAACAUCAGUGGCGAAGGCGGCUACCUGGACCACAACUGACACUGAGGCACGAAAGCGUGGGGAGCAAACAGG
Molecule: ribosomal RNA, 253 nt
Filed under: uncultured organism
Description: partial 16S ribosomal RNA
Rfam family: Bacterial small subunit ribosomal RNA
Source: RNAcentral